AUAAACUACGGUGGCGCAGUAUUCUAGUCAGCUCUAUCUAUUCCCAAGACGGGCCUAAAAAUCCGUUAAAGGGCAUAUCGAUGAAGUUUCUGGUGCUUGCUUUGAACGCCCAGUUCGGGGUUGGUGCUGGAAGUUAAGGCUUAGGGGCGGUCCGCAAUGGCAUGCGGGCGCCGAACCCCUUUGCCGCGGAGACCUAUGCUUGUGGCCGCCAAUGGGCGCGGCAAAAGCCGCGCUUAAGUGGCUACGACUUAGGAUAAAACCUGCAUAUCGGUGCUUUUUGUGCUGGGUGCAGAGUAGCCUGCCUUGAGUGGGAAGGGCUGGGAUAACGGACAAACCGGUACGGGUCGGCCAACCUAUGCCGGUCAUCGCUGUUUGAAACCCUGUCUGCAAAAGAGGCCAAGAGUAGAUUUGACUGCCGAGGAAACCUCCUAGACUGUUGCUUUGCUGGUUUGCAAGGGAUUGAAAUGCGGACUAAGUGGCAAUCAGGUCAUAGCCGCGGCGACGCAGCUGUAGGACGCUUUAAAGGGAAACCGCCAUGCCGGCGACGGCGCGGCAGCGUCUUGGGAAAGCCUACCUGACCUUAAGCCGCAAAAUUUACUUUGCAGGUUGCCACCGUA
This 617-nucleotide small RNA is filed under the name human gut metagenome. The record is from RNAcentral.